This 301-nucleotide ribosomal RNA is filed under the name uncultured bacterium. RNAcentral's name for it is "partial 16S ribosomal RNA". It matches the Rfam family "Bacterial small subunit ribosomal RNA", at positions 509 to 807 of the family's 1533-position model. The record is from RNAcentral.
CAGCAGCCACGGGAACACGAAGGGUGCAAGCGUUACUCGGAAUUACUGGGCGUAAAGCGUGCGUAGGUGGUGGUUUAAGUCCGUUGUGAAAGCCCUGGGCUCAACCUGGGAAUUGCAGUGGAUACUGGGUCACUAGAGUGUGGUAGAGGAUAGUGGAAUUUCCGGUGUAGCAGUGAAAUGCGUAGAGAUCGGAAGGAACAUCUGUGGCGAAGGCGACUAUCUGGGCCAACACUGACACUGAGGCACGAAAGCGUGGGGAGCAAACAGGAUUAGAUACCCCAGUAGUCCCUGUCUCUUAUAC